Molecule: long non-coding RNA, 1954 nt
Filed under: Homo sapiens (human)
Lineage: Eukaryota; Metazoa; Chordata; Mammalia; Primates; Hominidae
Description: HSALNT0380924
Source: RNAcentral
UGUGGAAACUUUGUUCUUUCGCUGUAUGUAAUAACUCUUGCUACUGUAGCUCGCUUUUUGGGUCUACGCUGCUUCUAUAAGCUGUAACAUUCACAGGGAAGAUCUGCAGCUUCACUCCUGAGACCACGAGCCCACUGGAAAGAACAAACAACUCCCGAAGUGCUACCUUAUAGAGCUAUAACACUCACCGCGAAGGUCUGCAGCUUCACUCCUGAGCCAGGGAGACCACAAACCCACCAGAAGGAAAAAACUCCGAAUACAUCUGAACAUCAGGAGGGACAGACUCCAGACGGGCCACCUGAAAAGCUGUAACACUCACCGUGAGGGUCCGGGGCUUCAUUCUUGAAGUUAGUGAGACCAAGAACCCACCAAUUCGGGACACACUUGGACCAUCCGCUUCCCAGGAAGCGUCAGCCCUGGGGUGCCCAUGCCCAGAAGCCCACUCCAGCCCUGAUAGUCGCCUCCCAGCUGAGCCAGGAACCUGGGGCUGAGCUCCAUCCUCAACCUUAAAAACUUGUCAUCUCACCUGUCCCGAGGAUGUGCGGUACCUGCCCUACUUCUACCAUCCUCACCCUACUCUUUUCCUGGGCUAGCGUUAUGAUGUCUAAACCUAUCUAUCAUCCCGUUCUGUGCUCUGUAUAUUCAUUUUCCACAUAACGUAAAAUGUAGGUCUGGCUAAGCCCCCUCCACAUGGACAACGUGGGCCCUACUCUCCACAGACUCCAGCCACCUGCGACCCCUUCUGCCUCAUGCUACGUGUGAUCACAGCCUUUUCUCCUGUUGCUAUCCUGACCGAGAUGCUCCUCUAACAAGCUUGUCCACCCUUUCACACCCCUCAGCACACGCCCUGGCUUCAUAUGGCCGCCUGGUACCCUCCCUGCCGUUUCUGCCCAGAUCUGUUCUGUGCCCAGCAGGUGUUAUUGGCUUCAUCUACUUGCAGGUCUGUCCUUACUAACUGGAACACCCCCGAGGGCAGGAACGGUUUACCCCAGCAUGGAGCACAGUUCCGGGGCCCUAGGAGGAGCUCAGAGGACCUGUGGGAAAUGUUCCCAUGGGCAAUGACUCCCUGAAUGUAACGUCGUAUGUCACCUUGGAGGGAAAGACCCCAUAAAAACCUAAUCAUAUUCAAGGGAAAGGAGCUUGGCUUUCCUGGGUACAGCCUAAUGGUGUUGGUGACUGGGGUAGGAAGGGGACUCAGCUUCUAUUGUAUCAUGUUCUCGUCGAUUCCUCCUUAUCCUGACUGUGAGCCCGAGAGGGCAGGGACCAAGGUCCUAAUGUAUCCCAGCGGAGCGUACACAUAGUAGGUACCUACGUCGUGUUGGUUGACUGAAAGUCUUCUCACCCAGCAGGAGGCAGGCAGUGAUGAGGGGACCUCAGAGGGGUGCUCUGGACUGUUACCUCAGAAGAGGAACUAUGCAGAGCGGGGCGGGCUAGCUGGGGAUGCAGCUCAGGGAGGAGACUGACCUACCGUGACCAUCCCACACCUCCGCAGGCACCAGGGCUUGCCCCCUGGGUCAGGGCAUCGGACUGUUUAGAUGCAAAGAAAGAGUCCUGGGCUGGGAGUCUGGAGCUUCCAGUCUGUUUUCAGCGGUGUGUUUUAGUCAAGGCAUUUUUACACUCUCUGGACCUCUGUCUCCUCAAAUGCAAAAUGAAGAGCUGGACCGGAAACUUUUUCUCGUCCAGUUCCAGUAGCUCAUCUUUCUGCACGAAGGAUAUGGGCUCGGAGUCGGAGGAACUGGGUUCAAGAGCUGGGGCUCCACUUACCAGGUGUAAGUCCUUGGCCAGGUUACUUAAUCUCCCAAAGCUGCAAUUUUCUCACCUGUAGAGCAGGACUGACAAUCAUUAGCUACCUCUCAGAUUCUUGGGAUUAGGUAUGCUUUCAGGUGAAAACACUCCAUACGCUAAGGCACUAUGUGAAUGUUGGUGGUGGUGGUUGUUUUUCUUAUUUACUUAA